Molecule: transfer RNA, 77 nt
Filed under: Candidatus Lokiarchaeum ossiferum
Lineage: Archaea; Promethearchaeati; Promethearchaeota; Promethearchaeia; Promethearchaeales; Promethearchaeaceae
Description: tRNA-Pro
Rfam family: tRNA
About the family: Transfer RNA (tRNA) molecules are approximately 80 nucleotides in length. Their secondary structure includes four short double-helical elements and three loops (D, anti-codon, and T loops).
Source: RNAcentral
GGGAAAGUGGUCUAGCUUGGUAUGAUACUCGGCUGGGGGCCGAGUGGUCGUGCGUUCGAAUCGUGCCUUUCCCACCA